GGAAGGAUCAUUAACACGUAUCCAAAACGUAAACCAACGAGAACUGUUGUCUGCUCCCAACAUUUGUACCGCAUGAGUUGACCUCCCCCCUUUAUUAAGACGUGUGUGUGGUUUGACCGCUCGUUAUUUCGUCUUAGUACCCGGACUGUCGGUUCGCUUUUUGGCGGAUCGGCGCAGCUGUAGCGGUGCACAUGGCACAUUCUAUUCGAUUUUUGCGCGCUCUGCCCACACGCACCAGAGACGUCGAGUAGGAUCCCUCAUUCUCUCUCUCUCUCUCUCUCUCUCACACGGGGGGAGAGGGAGAGAGAGAGUGAGGCUUCCAACACAAAACCUAAGUAUAAAAACUUAUUUCACCGCACUUUUUGCUAGUUGACAUUUAAUUGUGAGUCGCGGCGCGGCCGGUCUUGUAGUCACAUCUGCUGAUUCGACUUUCCGCUCUCGCUCUCGCACGUUUGAAUCUAAUUGAACGUUAAAUUUUACAACUCUUAGCAAUGGAUAUCUUGGUUCUCGCAACGAUGAAGAACGCAGCGAAAUGCGAUACGUAAUGCGAAUUGCAGAAUUCAGUGAAUCAUCAAAUCUUUGAACGCAAAUUGCGCUCUUGGGUAACCCUAGGAGCACGCCUCUCUCAGUAUCGGUUCAAUCACACCUCAGCAGCGUACUCAUUUAACCGUGAGUGGCGCGUUGGCUGGAUCAUGAGAGUCUGUGCAUCGGUUUCACGACACAGUCUCUUGAAAUAUAUCGAGUGAGCGAUAUCAUCACAGUUUCGUAUACUUUAUUCGUACACACACACUUCGGUGCUGUGUGCGGAGGGCCGGUCUCUGACUGGUUGCGCUAUGCGAGAGGUGACGUGAAUAGCCGAAAGGAUUUUCUACGUGUAACCCCUCGUGUGUGCAACUACUUAUAAAGGUCUAGGAUUUCCGCGCUCGUAAUGGAGACACAGGUGGCGCCUCAUGUUAACGCGACUUUAAACCGGUUGCAAUCUGAUCGACGAACGAUUUGUAAUCGUUCGGUUCAAUCUGAAUUUUGAUCUGAGAUGAAGCGAGACAACCCCCUGAAUUUAAGCAUAUUAAUAAGGGGAGGAAAAGAAACUAACAAGGAUUCCCCCAGUAACGGCGAGUGAAGCGGGAAGAGCUCAAUUUGAAAAUCGACUACCUAAGCGGGUCGUCGAGUUGUAGCCUAUAGACGUACUAUCAGCUGAGACCUGGGUAUAAGUUCUUUGGAAUGAGGCAUCAUAGAGGGUGAGAAUCCCGUAUAUGACCCAAAGCUUUCAGCGUACGAUGUAUGUUCAUCGAGUCGAGUUGUUUGGGAUUGCAGCUCUAAAUGGGUGGUAAGUUUCAUCUAAAGCUAAAUAAUGGCGAGAGACCGAUAGCGAACAAGUACCGUGAGGGAAAGAUGAAAAGAACUUUGAAAAGAGAGUUAAAAGUACUUGAAAUUGCUAAGAGGGAAGCGCUGACAACCAGUGUGUUCGCGCCGUUCAUCGUCGUCGGCCCCUGAUCAGUGUCGUAUCGUAGUGGGCAACCCUAUCGGUGCGGCAUCUCGUGAGGGCGGUCGGCGAUUCAGAACGGCGUGUCAGUCAAGAUCCAUUCGAUUUAUUUCUGUGGGAGAAGGUGGCGAGAAAGGUAGGAGACCUUCGGGUCUCUGUUAUAGUCUUGCCACUCUACCUCGGUUCGGAUGGAGGAAGUAAUAGUGCGCUGCUUGCGGCUUAGUCUCGCAUAUCUACGGUGCCAGCGGCCUUAAUAGCAAUGCUAUUCUGGUUGUGUCGUGCGUCGGUUACUAUGUGCGAUGUACUCUUUGUGCUAUCACGAUCUUGUACGAAAUGGUUGUCAUCGACCCGUCUUGAAACACGGACCAAGGAGUCUAACAUCUAUGCGAGUAUUUGAGUGACAAACUCUGAUGCGCAAUGAAAGUAAAGGCAGCCUCGUCGCUGCUGAGGUAGGAAUCCGCGCGUCAAAACCGUGGAGGCACUAUCGACCGAUCAUCACUUGUGAAAGAUUUGAGUAAGAGCAUAUCUGUUGGGACCCGAAAGAUGGUGAUCUAUGCCUGAACAGGGUGAAGCCUCAGGAAACUGGGGUGGAGGCUCGUAGCGAUACUGACGUGCAAAUCGUUCGUCUGAUUUGGGUAUAGGGGCGAAAGACUAAUCGAACCAUCUAGUAGCUGGUUCCCUC
RNAcentral lists this unclassified non-coding RNA (2165 nucleotides) under uncultured fungus. RNAcentral describes it as "sequence contains 18S rRNA gene, ITS1, 5.8S rRNA gene, ITS2, 28S rRNA gene". The stretch from base 1025 to 2165 matches the Rfam family "Eukaryotic large subunit ribosomal RNA", at positions 1 to 961 of the family's 3401-position model. Lineage: Eukaryota; Fungi. The record is from RNAcentral.